This 571-nucleotide ribosomal RNA is filed under the name Puccinia lagenophorae. RNAcentral's name for it is "eukaryotic LSU rRNA". The stretch from base 214 to 367 matches the Rfam family "5.8S ribosomal RNA". Lineage: Eukaryota; Fungi; Basidiomycota; Pucciniomycetes; Pucciniales; Pucciniaceae. The record is from RNAcentral.
CAUUAUUUAUACAAAAUGGAGUGCACUUUAUUGUGGCUCUGAACCUUUCACAUAAUCUUACCCCAAGACUUGUUUGUGUGGCAUCUUUUAGGUGACAUUGCACUCAGGUAUACGUAGCAGUUAUGCUACAUUCUCCCCCCCACCCUUUUUUUUUAACAAUUUUUUUAACACAAGUUUGAGCUAAGAAUGUAAACAUUUAUUAAUUAUAUAAAUAACUUUUAACAAUGGAUCUCUAGGCUCUCAUAUCGAUGAAGAACACAGUGAAAUGUGAUAAGUAAUGUGAAUUGCAGAAUUCAGUGAAUCAUUGAAUCUUUGAACGCACCUUGCACCUUUUGGUAUUCCAAAAGGUACACCUGUUUGAGUGUCAUGAAAAUCUCUCAUCAAAAUAAUUUUUGGUGGAUGUUGAGUGCUGCUGCUAUCUAGCUCACUUUAAAUAUAUAAGUCUUUUUAUUCUUCUGUUUGUUGGAUUGACUUGGUGUAAUAUUUUUAUCAUCAAGGAAAGUAGCAAUACUUGCCAACGUUUUUGGAAAAAGGACUCCUAAAUUGAUUUUAAAUCAUUUUUAUUUUUAAG